Molecule: ribosomal RNA, 253 nt
Filed under: uncultured bacterium
Lineage: Bacteria
Description: partial 16S ribosomal RNA
Rfam family: Bacterial small subunit ribosomal RNA
Source: RNAcentral
UACAGAGGUCUCAAGCGUUGUUCGGAUUCAUUGGGCGUAAAGGGUGCGUAGGCGGCGCGGUAAGUCGGGUGUGAAAUCUUGGAGCUUAACUCCGAAACUGCAUUCGAUACUGCCGUGCUUGAGGACGAGAGAGGGAUGCGGAAUUCCAGGUGGAGCGGUGAAAUGCGUAGAGAUCUGGAAGAACACCAAAGGCGAAGGCAGCAUCCUGGCUCGUAACUGACGCUGAUGUGCGAAAGCUAGGGGAGCGAACGGG